AACCCGACUGAGUUGGGCGAGUGGUUAGAAUUUCGUGGUUGAGGUGCCCAUGGUGCCAAUACGCCCGGGUUCGAAGCCUCACGCUGCAAACAAUUCUCUCGGGCCACUGGGGCAUUAUUACAUGGAGCUCGUCAGCGCCAGGAGGGGGAUUAGUCCUUUGGGCCUAGAAAGCCUUUGGGGAAACCCUGAAUUCCUUAAAAUUCAAAAAAAAAAAAACAUAUGUCAUAAGAUAUUACAACAAAAAUCAACGGAUAUCCACUAAGGAAAAGUUAUAACCUAAUCAUGUAAAUUGCCAUUAAUUAAUAUACUUAUAAGCCUAA
This 320-nucleotide long non-coding RNA is filed under the name Brassica napus (rape). RNAcentral describes it as "long non-coding RNA (BNAP_LNC023383)". Lineage: Eukaryota; Viridiplantae; Streptophyta; Magnoliopsida; Brassicales; Brassicaceae. The record is from RNAcentral.